This 301-nucleotide ribosomal RNA is filed under the name uncultured bacterium. RNAcentral describes it as "partial 16S ribosomal RNA". It matches the Rfam family "Bacterial small subunit ribosomal RNA", at positions 509 to 809 of the family's 1533-position model. The record is from RNAcentral.
CAGUCGCCACGGGAAUACGAAGGGUGCAAGCGUUAAUCGGAAUUACUGGGCGUAAAGCGUGCGUAGGCGGUGAGUUAAGUCUGCUGUGAAAUCCCCGGGCUCAACCUGGGAAUGGCAGUGGAUACUGGCUCGCUAGAGUGUGUCAGAGGAUGGUGGAAUUCCCGGUGUAGCGGUGAAAUGCGUAGAGAUCGGGAGGAACAUCAGUGGCGAAGGCGGCCAUCUGGGACAACACUGACGCUGAGGCACGAAAGCGUGGGGAGCAAACAGGAUUAGAUACCCCCGUAGUCCCUGUCUCUUAUAA